AUUCAGAUGACGAGUCCAAAAAUAGGACGAAAUGCACAUCCUGACUGAAU
Molecule: non-coding RNA, 50 nt
Filed under: Trichobilharzia regenti
Lineage: Eukaryota; Metazoa; Platyhelminthes; Trematoda; Strigeidida; Schistosomatidae
Source: RNAcentral